RNAcentral lists this ribosomal RNA (655 nucleotides) under Pieris venosa. RNAcentral's name for it is "partial 16S ribosomal RNA". The record is from RNAcentral. Lineage: Eukaryota; Metazoa; Arthropoda; Insecta; Lepidoptera; Pieridae.
GGGGUUAAUUUAAUAAAUAAUAAAUAUGAAAAAAAAUUUUAAUAUAAUAUAUAUAAUGGGGGUUAAAGUAUUUUUAUAGAAAAAAUUUUAAAAUUUAUAGUGAAAUAGUAUUGUGAAAGAAAUAUUGAAAAUAUUGAAAUAAAAAUUUAUUAAAAAGUAAAUUUUGUUUAUUGUAUCUUGUGUAUCAGAGUUUUUUAAAAAAAAAAAUUGGGUAAAUUUAUUUCGAAAUUUAAAGAGUUAAUUAAUUAAAAAAGUUAAUGUUGCAUAAUUAUUUUGAAUAAUUAAUUGGAAAUGAAAAGUUAAUCGUUUUGAAUGAUAUCUAAUUUUUUUAGAAAAAAGUUUAAUUUUAAAUAAAUUUUAAAAAUAAUUAUUAAUUAAUUAUUUUUAAAAUUUAAUUUUAUAUUUUAGGGGAUAAGCUUUAAAUUAGAAUUUUAUAAUAAAAGUAAAAAAAAAUUGAAAUUUUUAAAAUUUAUAUUUUUUAUAAAUUAUAGUUUAUUAUUAAUAAUUUCAUUUAAUUAAAAUUUUAUUUUAAUUUAAAUUUUUAUAAAAAAAUAUUUUUUAAUUUAAUAAAAAUAGGUAUAAUGAUAAAAUUAGUAUAUAAUUUAUAAAUAAAAUAAAAAUUAUUUAAAUUAAUAAAAAGGAAUUCGGCAAAAAU